Molecule: ribosomal RNA, 254 nt
Filed under: uncultured bacterium
Lineage: Bacteria
Description: partial 16S ribosomal RNA
Rfam family: Bacterial small subunit ribosomal RNA
Source: RNAcentral
UACGGGGGGAGCAAGCGUUGUUCGGAUUUACUGGGCGUAAAGGGCGCGUAGGCGGCCACUGCAAGUCGGUUGUGAAAUCUCCGGGCUUAACCCGGAAAGGUCAAUCGAUACUGCAGGGCUAGAGUGCAGAAGGGGCAACUGGAAUUCUCGGUGUAGCGGUGAAAUGCGUAGAUAUCGAGAGGAACACCUGCGGCGAAGGCGGGUUGCUGGGCUGACACUGACGCUGAUGCGCGAAAGCUAGGGGAGCGAACGGG